Molecule: long non-coding RNA, 370 nt
Organism: Saccostrea cuccullata (small rock oyster)
Lineage: Eukaryota; Metazoa; Mollusca; Bivalvia; Ostreida; Ostreidae
Exons: 3
Source: RefSeq, a predicted model, not a curated record
UUUUAAAACUUAGUUUCACUUUCGGUUUACGCUACAUGUGCUUCUUCACUUGCAUGACCAUGAAGGGUGACAGGUUGAACAAUGUUUGCCCUUGUGCUCUUUGACCUAGAUGGAUGUACAGCCAUAAUUGAUGUAAAGAAAUUUAGGGUCCCAGAUGUUCAAGCUGUCCUCAAAGGCCAGCAGGUCGAUGUGCUGUACACGCGAAAGAUUUUGAAAGUCGAAGUCUUGGAACUUUCUGAUUCACGGGCUUUCCUAAAUGACUUUGAGGAUGAGUGGUCCACCAGUCAUCGAUCUCUUGCCCUUGACAAAGAAAAGAAGAAGAGGAAAAACAAGCCUCAUGGAUAUCUUUCUGUUUGGCCAACAGAUGAGG